GGUGGGGGGACAUGGGGCGGGUAGGCAGACACGCGAUCCUCCACUUGGUUCUCAGCACAAGAAACUGGACUCUGAGCCCUACACCACACAAGGCUCUUUUGUCAGACUUCAUGUCUGAGGCCAGGGUUUGCUCCCCCAGGUUCUGUGCAGGCCCCCACCUCCCCACCCCACCCCACUCCCCCUCCAUCCUAGGCAGUCCAUUCUUUCCAACCAAGACCACUGGAAGCAGCUCAAAGCAGCAUGGGUUGGCCUAUGCUGCAUCUGACCGUAUUUUAAGAGGCUUUUAAUUCUGGAAUAGUUCUAGGGUGAGUUCAUUGUGUAAAUUCCAAUGCAAACACUUUUUGUUUUCAUCAUCCUCAUUGUUUGGUUUCCUCUAACUCAUGUAAUCAGUUGAAAUAUUAAUUACAAAAAGAUGGCGGGGCAUAUAGAGCUGGAAGCGAUUUGCUUUAUCCGACAACAGAGGAGGAGACGAGCCUGGAGGGGAGAGACUUGCCCUAGAUUGCCAGCCCCUGGUAGGGCUCCCUGGGCCCUACCCUUGGUUCCUGGGCUUCUGUCCUAUUUGCUGACUUGCAUUUCCAGUGCUGAUUUCCCUGGAAGUGGCAAAGCACUGGAAUGACCCGUGAACUUAGGAAGUGUCUGAAUAGUGUGGAAGCCACGGUGGGAGCUUGGACCCUCUUGGAAAGGAAGCUGGAGUGGUGAGAAGCCACUGUUUGGCUGUGGGUGUGGGGCAUGGAGAGGGGGCAGAUUUCUCUUUCCUGCUAAGGUCAUUCAUCAAGGGGGGACUCCAGGGCCCCUGACCUGCUGGGGUGAUGGGUGACGCUGGGACUCUCUCACCGCAGGGCUGCCUUCAGAUUAGAAAGGGAAAGGGUGCUGGUAACGGCAGCUCCUCUGCUUAGCUGGAGUGACAGGCAGCCAUGCAGGAGGGCUGCAGCUGGGGUCAGCCCAUGCAGUGAUUCCCUGGUGGUCCUUGGGCAAAUCAAACCUCCUUCCCCAUCUACAGACAGAAGGGGGAUAGGCUCAGACUUGUUUUACAGGCUUGUUGUAGUGAUAAAAUAAAGUCUGUGAGAGCAACAUCUGACAUAUGCCAGCGGAGGGUGCCCAGGGGGCAUGUGGCUCACCCUGAGCAGUGGCCGUGGCACAGGCUGGGGUGUCUGCCGCUGGGGAGGCGAGAGAGCAGAGCGGUGCUGCAGUGGCUGUCCCAGCUGGGGGAGUAGGAACCUCUGCUGGAGGUGGAGCUGUGUGUCCCCGUGAACUCACUGGGUGACUUUUGGUUCUUCGCCCAGAGCUCCAGCAUCACCAAUGAGUGGGCCUGCCCUUUCUUCCCAAACUCUGAGACUUGGGCGAACACUUGAUCUUCUGGGACUCUGCUUCAUCCUUUGAUGGAGUUCGUGCCCAUUGGGUUGGUUAGAGUGAGGAAUAAAAGGAUCCUGUCACUAAGUGCUUUGCACAGUGAGCCAUCAUCUGCCAGUCCAAUGUGGGGAGAAUAUGCCAGGGGGAGAUGAGGGCAGGAGCCUCACGUAGGGUGUGAGCCAGGCAGUGGCUCAGAGCAAACUGAGAAGGUCCUUCCAGCCCUGGAUUCAUGUCUCCAUGGAAACCUGCUCUUGCCAGAGAGUCCGCCCAGCCCAGGCCCCCCUCCUCCAGGGCUGGUGGGUUCUUCAGCUGGAGCUCCAGCAUCACCGAUGAGUGGGCCUGCCCUUUCUUCCCAAACUCAGAGAACUGGAAUGGGUUUCCUUACCUGGGACCUGCAGUUGACUGGGGAAUGGAAUCCAGGAUUCUGAGUGCAGAAGUUUCCAGAUUCAGGACUCAUAAAAUCUUAAUAUAGCCCCGAGACUGUCAUGUUUACAGACAGUGCAGCAAAGGCAGUGGCUUGGAGUGUGACCAGAGAGUUUGCAGAACAAACGCACCAGGGAGGGGCUUGGAUGGAAAUAACCAAGCGCUCUCCCCGCAGGGCGUCAGGAAGACAGAAGAAGCUGGACAGAAAGAGAUCAAGAUUUAACUGGUUAUGCUGUAGACCAUGGCAGAUCGUAACAGAAGACAAAGCCCUUAAAAGAAAUGAAACUAUCCUCAUUAAAGGCCUGAUGGCUCACACCAUCCAGGAGAUCUCCUCUGCUACCAACUCCCAGCAGCUGAUUCAGCGGUCCUUCAUGAACAAUAGGCAACUGAACAAGAAAAUGAGUUUAUAUUGUUCAAAAGAAAGAAGAAUGCCUCUUUUUUCCCUUGAACAAGGGAGGUGGAGACUAACAAAAGAUUCUUUGCUUGACCAAACUUUAGUCAGGCUUCUAAAUCUUCCCCUCGGCCCGUCUGUGCACUUCCUUGUGAAAUCCAGUUUUAGCAAAGAACAUUUGUAAGUCAGUUUAGCAAGAACCCACCUCCCCACCCCCAUCCUCAAUAUCUGAUCAGGUUGCUCAGUUGCCAUCAUCCCCCAGGUGAUGUCUGAUUACCCUAGCCUGUCUUCAGCAAGAAUUCUGUUAGGUCAGUUCAGCCAGAAUCUCCCUUAACUCUUAUGUUUCCUCUCAGUAAUUUUUUUAUUUUUAUUUUAUUAUUAUUUUUUUGAGACAGAGCCUCCCUCUGUCACCCAGGCUGGAGUGCAGUGGCACGAUCUUGGCUCACUGCAACUUCUGCCUCCUGAGUUCAAGUGAUUCUUGUGCCUCAGCCUCCUAAGUGGCUGGGACCAUAGGUGUGUGUUGCCAUACCCAGCUAAUUUUUUUUUUCCUCAAGACGGAGUCUUGCUCUGUCGCCAAGGCUGGAGUGCAAUGGCGCAAUCUCAGCUCACUGCAACUUCUGCCUCUUGGGUUCAAGCAAUUCUCCUGCCUCAGCCUGCCGAGUAGCUGGGAUUACAGGUGCUCGCCACCACGCCCAUCUAAUUUUUUGUAUUUUUAGUAGAGACUAAAAAUAGUCUCUAGACCAUGUUGGCCAGGCUGGUCUUGAACUCCUGACUUUGUGAUCUGCCCACCUCGGCCUCCCAAAGUGCUAGGAUUACAGGCAUGAGCCACUGUGCCCACCCGGUGCCCAGCUGAUUUUUUAUAUUUUUAGUAGAGACUGGGUUUUGCCAUGUUGCCCAGGCUGGUCUUGAACUCCUGAGCUCAGGGCAAUCUGCCUGCCUCGGCCUCUCAGAGUGCUAGGAUUACAGGUAUGAGCCACCGUGCCCGGCCUUCUUCUUAGUAAUUUUCUAUCCACUGACCCCCACACUCUUCAUGGCUAUAAAUUCCUAUAUAAUUGCAUAAAUUCUACGCAAUCUCUCUCCCCAACUCUGAGACCCCAUUGCAGUGGUACCCUAUAACUAUGUCAAUGGCCCUGAAUAAAGUCUUCCUUACCAUGCUUUAACAAGUAUUAUUGAACACAUUUUCUUUAACAACAGCAAGAAAAAAGCAAAGCAGGAAAGGGAUGUAAGAAAGAGUGAGAUGAAUAACACACUUCCAAGAGGGAGGGCUCAAAGAAGGAAAAGGAAAGAUCAAAUGAGUUCCUUAUAUCCCAAAAGAAACUGCAGACGCAACGGACCAACAAACUGAGCUCAACUGAACUCUGUAAGUUUCAAGCAGAGAUUCUGUGACAACAGAGAGAUGAAAGGCAAGUUGAGGAAACAAAUGGAAGAAAAAGAUAAAACAUUACAGUGACGGGAACCACGUUCAAAGCCACACAACCCUGAAAGCACAAGUUUGACAAAAUUGUGCAAAACAAACUGGCACAAAAAACAUGCAAGAUUGAUCGUAAAGAAGAUGUAAAUGGCAGGCAAAGGGCAACUGGUUUUUCCAAGAAGAGAACAGAAUGGAUGAAACUGAAAAGGCAUUCAAGGAACCAUGGGAAGCUGACUUUUCAGAAGGAGGACAUGGACUUCCAAUUCAACUGAGCACGUUGUAUCCCAGAAAGAGAAACAUAGACAGAGUGACCCAUGCUGAAGCAUAACUAUGGUUAGCUUCUGAACACAGUGACAAAGGCAGAAUCCUAUCAACCAAAAAGCCAAAGGAAACCAAAGCACAAAUUCCCCCACAGCAUUCAGCACCCGAGGAUGGUGGCCACAAUCUACAGUUUGGGGGAAAGGAAAUGUGGAUCAGCAGACCCUGGCACGUAUAAAGACCACACACAGAUGGCUUUACACGUGUGGGCACUCAGGGCGGACAGUUCCUAAAAGCCGUUUUUGACAGAACACUGAGGAAUCAAACUGUAGAUCUUAGGAACAAGGAACUGUGCUGAAAACGAAUGACAGUGAACACAGAAUCCAUUCUAUUUUGGAAUUAAGACCCCAGUAACUAGUGAAAUUGUGUUAUAAAACAGAGAGUAACUCUUAUAAACAUGGCCGGUGUAAAUCAUGAUGUCAUCACCAAAUCGGAAAAGGAGGUGAGGGAACGCUGGCACUUCCCUCAUCUUUCAGAGCAGGAAGUAAAACUUGAAACAUGCAGUCAUAUCAAAAUCCAAUAACCUUGAAUAAUCACUCUUUGUCUACCCUUUUCUCCCCUUGACUUUGAAGGGAUCAUUUGGUCCUUUUUAUAUUGCUUGAAUUUGUUUUUUUCAUUGAUGCAUAAUAUUCAUACAUAUUUGUGAGGUACAUAUAAUGAUAUGGUUUGGAUCUGUGUCCUCGCCCAAAUCUAUUGUAAUCCCCGGUGUUGGAGGUGGGUCUUGGUGGAAGUGAUUUGAUUAUUGGGGUGGAUUUCCCCCGUGUACUGCCCUCAUUAUAGUGAGUGAGUUCUCAUGAGAGCUGGUUGUUCAAAAGUAUGUGGCACUUCCCCCUUGCUCUUGGUCCUGCUCCUGUCACAUAAGACGCCGGCUCUCAUUCACCUUCUGCCAUGACUAGAAGCUCCCUGAGGCCUCCCCAGAAGCAGAUGCUGCCAUGCUUCCUGUACAGCCUGCAGAACUGUGAGCCAAUUAAAGCUCUUUUCCUUAAAAAUUA
This is a long non-coding RNA of Homo sapiens (human), 4885 nucleotides long. RefSeq lists it as uncharacterized. The record is from RefSeq and is a predicted model, not a curated record. The transcript is spliced from 4 exons. NCBI's taxonomy places the organism in Eukaryota, Metazoa, Chordata, Mammalia, Primates, Hominidae.